Molecule: ribosomal RNA, 205 nt
Filed under: Tuberibacillus calidus
Lineage: Bacteria; Bacillati; Bacillota; Bacilli; Caryophanales; Sporolactobacillaceae
Description: partial 16S rRNA
Rfam family: Bacterial small subunit ribosomal RNA
Source: RNAcentral
UUGCUAGUAAUCGCGGAUCAGCAUGCCGCGGUGAAUACGUUCCCGGGCCUUGUACACACCGCCCGUCACACCACGAGAGUUUGUAACACCCGAAGUCGGUGGGCGAACCGUUAUGGACGCAGCCGCCGAAGGUGGGACAAAUGAUUGGGGUGAAGUCGUAACAAGGUAGCCGUAUCGGAAGGUGCGGCUGGAUCACCUCCUUUCU